RNAcentral lists this ribosomal RNA (745 nucleotides) under uncultured archaeon. RNAcentral's name for it is "bacterial SSU rRNA". It matches the Rfam family "Archaeal small subunit ribosomal RNA", at positions 70 to 814 of the family's 1478-position model. The record is from RNAcentral.
UCAGACCCGUGGCAAAUAGCUCAGUAGCACGUGGCCAAUCUACCCUCCGGAUCAGCACACCCUCGGGAAACUGAGGCCAAUUCUGUAUACGGCUCCCGACCUGGAAUGGUGGGAGCCCGAAACGCUCCGGCGCCGGAGGAUGAGGCUGCGGCCGAUUAGGUUGACGGUGGGGUAAUGGCCCACCGUGCCGAUAAUCGGUCUGGGUCAUGAGAGUGAGAACCCAGAGACGGAAUCUGAGACAAGAUUCCGGGCCCUACGGGGCGCAGCAGGCGCGAAACCUUUACACUGCACGCCAGUGCGAUAAGGGGACCCCAAGUGCGCAGGCAUAGUGCCUGCGCUUUUCUGGACUGUAGGGCGGUCCAGGAACAAGGGCUGGGCAAGACCGGUGCCAGCCGCCGCGGUAAUACCGGCAGCCCAAGUGAUGGCCGCUGUUAUUGGGCCUAAAGCGUCCGUAGCUGGCCGCACAAGUCCGUCGGGAAAUCCGCCCGCUCAACGGGCGGCCGUCCGGCGGAACCUGUGUGGCUUGGGACCGGGAGGCCUGAGGGGUACGAUCGGGGUAGGAGUGAAAUCCUGUAAUCCCGCUCGGACCGCCGAUGGGGAAACCACCUCAGGAGAACGGAUCCGACAGUGAGGGACGAAAGCCAGGGUCUCGAACCGGAUUAGAUACCCGGGUAGUCCUGGCCGUAAACGAUGCUUGUUAGGUGUGACUCCCACUACGAGUGGGUGUUGUGCCGUAGGGAAGCCG